This 253-nucleotide ribosomal RNA is filed under the name uncultured bacterium. RNAcentral's name for it is "partial 16S ribosomal RNA". It matches the Rfam family "Bacterial small subunit ribosomal RNA", at positions 524 to 776 of the family's 1533-position model. The record is from RNAcentral.
UACGUAGGGGGCAAGCGUUAUCCGGAUUUACUGGGUGUAAAGGGAGCGUAGGCGGUGAUGCAAGUCAGAAGUGAGAGCCCGCAGCUCAACUGCGGGACUGCUUUUGAAACUGUAUGACUAGAUUGCAGGAGAGGUAAGUGGAAUUCCUAGUGUAGCGGUGAAAUGCGUAGAUAUUAGGAGGAACACCAGUGGCGAAGGCGGCUUACUGGACUGUAAAUGACGCUGAGGCUCGAAAGCGUGGGGAGCAAACAGG